Molecule: ribosomal RNA, 460 nt
Filed under: uncultured bacterium
Lineage: Bacteria
Description: partial 16S ribosomal RNA
Rfam family: Bacterial small subunit ribosomal RNA
Source: RNAcentral
CCUACGGGUGGCAGCAGUGAGGAAUAUUGGUCAAUGGACGAGAGUCUGAACCAGCCAAGUAGCGUGAAGGAUGACUGCCCUAUGGGUUGUAAACUUCUUUUAUAUGGGAAUAAAAUGUUCCACGUGUGGGAUUUUGUAUGUACCAUAUGAAUAAGGAUCGGCUAACUCCGUGCCAGCAGCCGCGGUAAUACGGAGGAUCCGAGCGUUAUCCGGAUUUAUUGGGUUUAAAGGGAGCGUAGGUGGAUUGUUAAGUCAGUUGUGAAAGUUUGCGGCUCAACCGUAAAAGUGCAGUUGAAACUGGCAGUCUUGAGUACAGUAGAGGUGGGCGGAAUUCGUGGUGUAGCGGUGAAAUGCUUAGAUAUCACGAAGAACUCCGAUUGCGAAGGCAGUUCACUGGACUGCAACUGACACUGAGGCUCGAAAGUGUGGGUAUCAAACAGGAUUAGAUACCCGAGUAGUC